Molecule: ribosomal RNA, 335 nt
Filed under: uncultured Pseudoflavonifractor sp.
Lineage: Bacteria; Bacillati; Bacillota; Clostridia; Eubacteriales; Oscillospiraceae
Description: bacterial SSU rRNA
Rfam family: Bacterial small subunit ribosomal RNA
Source: RNAcentral
UGGGGAAUAUUGGGCAAUGGGCGCAAGCCUGACCCAGCAACGCCGCGUGAAGGAAGAAGGCUUUCGGGUUGUAAACUUCUUUUGUCAGGGACGAGGAGAAGACGGUACCUGACGAAUAAGCCACGGCUAACUACGUGCCAGCAGCCGCGGUAAUACGUAGGUGGCAAGCGUUGUCCGGAUUUACUGGGUGUAAAGGGCGUGUAGGCGGAGAUGCAAGUUGGGAGUGAAAACCAUGGGCUCAACCCAUGAACUGCUUUCAAAACUGUAUCCCUUGAGUAUCGGAGAGGCAAGCGGAAUUCCUAGUGUAGCGGUGAAAUGCGUAGAUAUUAGGAGGA